UUUCCGUAGGUGAACCUGCGGAGGGAUCAUUAUUGAGUACGUUUGUUUCUGAUGCUUGCUCUUCACUGAGCAUGUGCUAGAUCGGUAACUAUUUAUCUUCUCUUGUGCACCUUUUAUGGUCUUUCAGAGCGAGUGAUAACUCUCGCAGCAAUGCGGUUUGGGGGACUUAGGCGUGAACCCUUCCCCAACGUUUGCUUCUUUGGAGGGCGAUGUUUUCAUAGACACUAUAAAGUUACAGAAUGUCUUUUAAAGUUUGUGCUAGUCGAAGUCAUUAAACAUAUACAACUUUCAGCAACGGAUCUCUUGGCUCUC
RNAcentral lists this unclassified non-coding RNA (312 nucleotides) under plant metagenome. Its description in RNAcentral is "partial contains small subunit ribosomal RNA, internal transcribed spacer 1, and 5.8S ribosomal RNA". The record is from RNAcentral.